UGGGGAAUAUUGCACAAUGGGCGCAAGCCUGAUGCAGCCAUGCCGCGUGUGUGAAGAAGGCCUUCGGGUUGUAAAGCACUUUCAGCGGGGAGGAAGGCGAUAAGGUUAAUAACCUUGUCGAUUGACGUUACCCGCAGAAGAAGCACCGGCUAACUCCGUGCCAGCAGCCGCGGUAAUACGGAGGGUGCAAGCGUUAAUCGGAAUUACUGGGCGUAAAGCGCACGCAGGCGGUCUGUCAAGUCGGAUGUGAAAUCCCCGGACUCAACCUGGGAACUGCCUUCGAAACUGGCAGGCUAGAGUCUUGUAGAGGGGGGUAGAAUUCCAGGUGUAGCGGUGAAAUGCGUAGAGAUCUGGAGGAAUACCGGUGGCGAAGGCGGCCCCCUGGACAAAGACUGACGCUCAGGUGCGAAAGCGUGGGGAGCAAACAGG
This 429-nucleotide ribosomal RNA is filed under the name Chloroflexota bacterium. Its description in RNAcentral is "Chloroflexi bacterium partial 16S ribosomal RNA". It matches the Rfam family "Bacterial small subunit ribosomal RNA", at positions 355 to 776 of the family's 1533-position model. Lineage: Bacteria; Bacillati; Chloroflexota. The record is from RNAcentral.